Molecule: small nuclear RNA, 193 nt
Filed under: Neofusicoccum parvum UCRNP2
Lineage: Eukaryota; Fungi; Ascomycota; Dothideomycetes; Botryosphaeriales; Botryosphaeriaceae
Description: U2 spliceosomal RNA
Rfam family: U2 spliceosomal RNA
About the family: U2 is a small nuclear RNA (snRNA) component of the spliceosome (involved in pre-mRNA splicing). Complementary binding between U2 snRNA (in an area lying towards the 5' end but 3' to hairpin I) and the branchpoint sequence (BPS) of the intron results the bulging out of an unpaired adenosine, on the BPS, which initiates a nucleophilic attack at the intronic 5' splice site, thus starting the first of two transesterification reactions that mediate splicing.
Source: Rfam by way of RNAcentral
UCAGCUCUCUUCGCCUUUCGGCUAAGAUCAAGUAGUAUCUGUUCUUGUACACGCGUAAUUGCUGUCAUGUGCCUACGGGUACCCCAGUAAUUACUCAGUUUUUGGAAACCGGGCGGCGGCCUGCUGAGCUCCGCUCAUGUCGCUGUCCACAGUGUCGUUCCUAUUGCACUACUUGGUCCUGACGCAAAGUUUC